CCAGUUGCAGUAUUAUUAGUAUGAUCUUACUAUUUGAAACAAUCCAGUAAAUUGUGUUGUGAGUUAUGAUUAAGGAGUCCUGUACAUUGAUUAUAUAAUGCAAUCAUGCAUAAAAGCACUUGGUAGAUGACCCUAAAAGGAAAAUCUGCUCUUUUUUAUUUAACCCCUAUCUUCCUAUAAGAAUUCUUUAUCUGUGUAAUUUUUUACAUCUUGUAAUUCAUAUUAAAGUAGGCUUUUUUCUAAUUACAAAAGCAAUACUGCAGCCUAGAGAAGGAGAAGAAAAAGCUUACUCUCCCAGUGACCCCUUCCUAAGUAUUUGUCUUUUCAGUCUUUUCUAUGAAUGCUACACAUACACUUGUGGAUUUACUUAAAUGACAUCUUAGCAUACAAACUAUUUUAUAACUUGCUUUCAAGUUAUAAACUAAUAUUUUGUGAAAAUAUUCAACUAAUAUUUUGUGAAAAUCAUAUCAAUAAAAAUACAUACAUACAUACUGGUUAUGUAGUAUUACAUUUUUUACC
RNAcentral lists this long non-coding RNA (519 nucleotides) under Bos taurus (domestic cattle). RNAcentral's name for it is "long non-coding RNA NONBTAT012766". The record is from RNAcentral. Lineage: Eukaryota; Metazoa; Chordata; Mammalia; Artiodactyla; Bovidae.